UUUUUGAGAACACAGCAUUCAGUCCAUAAUACCAGCUCCUGGUACUUUCCAGACAAUAUGGGGACAGCUGGGAAGGAAGUGGGUCAUCUGACUAUCAGGAUCAGACCGGUUGAAGCAGUGAUCACCUCUUGCCCUCACUCAUCAGCAUGAGCACCUUCCUGACUUCCCCCCACACUGUAAAAAUAUGUCUCUGUGCUUUGGCUCCUCGUCUCUAACUUCAUCAUGCAGGGUUUACCCACAGCUCAGACCUCCUCACCUACAAUGCAGCUUCCCAACACUAAUCUUUCUGAAUCUUACAAAAUAUCUGUUCCACAAGAGAUGUCACUUUUCAUUCACUAAUUUUGCAAAUAUCAACUGUUUUAUGUAAAAAAUUUCUAAGAUAAAACACCAAUAAAAGACUAUUAUUUCUACGAGAGCUGUUUUGACGGGAGUGAUAUAUGAAAUCGAUUCUAUUCUGACUCAUGACA
This 467-nucleotide long non-coding RNA is filed under the name Equus asinus (donkey). RNAcentral describes it as "lncRNA (ENSEASG00005037014.1)". The record is from RNAcentral. Lineage: Eukaryota; Metazoa; Chordata; Mammalia; Perissodactyla; Equidae.